AUUCAUGAGAGACUCAGAGAGAGAGGCAGAGACAUAAGCAGAGGGAGAAACAGGCUCCCUGCAGGACUCGAUCUCAGGACGGGGGGAUCAGGACCUGAGCCAAAGGCAGACGCUCAAACCACUGAGCCACCCGGGCGAUCAGCGUUUAGAUUUAAAUAAGGUGAGUGUCAGGUACCUGUGGGCCGUUCAAAGGGCUGACCUGGAGGCAGCUGUACAAGAAGCCUGGUGCUCAGGAGAGAAUGGGGCAGGGGCAUGUUCCCCGUGUGCCCCCAGUAUCAGCGAGCUGGUGGCAGCCCCGACGAGCACGCUUGCAGAGCCCUGGGGAAGGGCACAGAAAGGAUGAAGUUCUGAAAAGUUCUUUGAGAGCAGGUGGUUUGAACAGGUGUGCGAAUCAGAAUGAAAAUAUUAAAACACACACCACCGUCCAGCUUGGCCCGUCGGGCCCUCCUGGAGUCCAGCAUCGCGUUUAUCUGCAGCCUGGGAGGAUCUGAGUUGCACAACAGCCAGAGGUUUAGGGGCUCCCCAGUCCCAUCCCAGGCCAGCCCCCACCUUGCAUCAGAGGCAGCAGCGGCGGCUGACUCAGCAAAGCUUUUUUCUCUGGGACGCUUGCCUUUAAAGGCAAAAUGAAAAGGAAAAAAAAAAAAAAGAAAGAAAGAAAGAAAACCCUCUUCCCGGGUGCCUUCCGCCCUCCGCCCCGCGCAGGCCGCCCGAGCCCACGUGCGUGCUCCCAGGCACGCACCCCAGCACCCAGCGCCGCCGGCCACCUGGCACCGCCCCUCAGUCCCAGAGCCCUUCCUCCGGCUGGCUGGCUGGCUGGCGAGGCCUGGAACUGCUUGGAAUGGGACCCAGAAAAAGUGCGAGUUCCUUCCAGGGCUAAAGGCAGCCUCCAGGGAACAAAGCUGCCAGUGUGAGCACAGCUUGGGGUGGAGGGGGAGUGGGGGGGCCCUCGGUCCUUGCAAGCUGAGCCCCAGGACUCCCACAAACUCUGCAGCCUUCUUCAGAGCUUCAGAGCAGGGGAGGCUCAAGGGGAGGCUUCGAUUUCCUCAGGCCCCUCCCCUGCUCAGAAACCCUCCAUGGCUUCCCACUUACCCCUGAAAGAAGUCCUAACUCCUAUAAACUGGCAAUUGAGGGCCUUUAGGACCUCACCUCUUCAGCUUCUUUUGCCCAGAUUCCCCCUAACUUCAUCCCCUGUCUCUGCCACCUCCCUGCACAGCCUCCCCUGGGGCUGCUUAGUGGGGCUCUGCGGUUCUGUGGCUCAGCUGCACCUUCCUGCCAGGCUCCAGGCAUUACCUCAUGCGCUCUGCUCCCCUCAGCUUCCAGCCUUCCAGGCUCAGAUGCCAUUUAGGCUUUCUCGGGUGUUCCCUCUCUGGUUGGACUUACAUUCUGUUUCCCAGGACUCAGCCACCCAAAAAAUAAACUAGCCCGCCUGCGAAUCUAACCUCGGAUCCAGUGUUAAUAAUAGCUUCUCAUGAAUUUACCUCAAAACUAUAGCCUCUAGCAGGUCAUGAAAUUUUUAUAGAGAGAGAAGAAAUGGAAUUUCAAGCAGAUAAUGGGGGUCUGUUUGGGCGGGUAGGGUGAGGUUCGGCAAGAGCAACGCUGUGUUUCUAGCCACUCUGCUUUGUCUUCUAGUGCUACCCUCGCUACCCUCGCCAGGGGAAGGGGAUUGGAUGGGACAUCAUGUAUUAGUACUGUUGGGGCACCUGGGUGGCUCAGAGAUUAAGCUUCUGCCUUUGGCUUGGGCCAUGAUCUCGGGGGUCCUGGGAUGGAGUCCCACAUCGGGCUCCCCUCUGGGAGCCUGCCUCUGCCUCUGCCUGUGUCUCUGGCUCUCUCUGUGUGUCUCAUGAAUAAAUAAAUACAAUUAAAAAAAUGAAUUAGCACUGUUUAUUGGGAUAAACUUCUAUACACAUCCAUUUUUCCUCAGGCCUGCCCAAGAGGGAAUCAUUAAACCCAUUUUACAGAUAUGAGUCUUGAGGCUCAGAGAGAAGGGAUUUGCUCAGUGAUGUUUGUUGUUGUUGUUGUUGUUUUUUAAAGAUUUUAUUUAUUUCUUCAUGAGAGACAGAGAGAGAGAGAGAGAGAGAGGCAGAGACACAAGCAGGCUCCAUGCCCUGGGCCAAAGGCAGGGGUUAAGCCGCUGAGCUACCCAGGGAUCCCCUGUCUGCUGCUUUUGUGCAUGUUCUUCCCUCUGCCGAAAAUGGCCUUCCCUAUGGUCGGCCUGGUAUUCAGCCUUCCACACCCUGCUCUGCAUGUCCCCUAUCUUCUCUGAAGCUCUCUCUACCCCCUCGCCUUCCUCUAUGGCACAAGUUCUUCUCCUGUACACAUGCUCAUCCCUGCACACUCCACUUGGUAUUAUUGCUGCCCAUUUCCCCUCUGGCAUCCUUUCCAGUUCGGGGGCUCCCCAGGCUAGCAACAGACUCACAUGCCUCUGACCCUGGGGAAGUGACCCACACAGGGCUGGCCUAGAGAAGGAAAGGGAGCCUGGUGGUGAGUGUGACCCGUGGGCUGAAUGAGACAUACCCCCAGCUGAGAGGAGGCCUACACAAUAUGCCUGGAAACAGGGAGCUAUGGAGACUCUGAGCAGGAAAGUGGCAAAACCAGAAAGGUACUUAGGGAAAGACUUCAAGUGUUGGCAGAAACAGGCAGGCUAGCUCCUCAUAGGAUCAUUCAUUACUGCCUGCGUUCACUCCUUCCACCCAUGUGUCUCCCCCACAGAAGCCAUCCUUGGGGGGCUCCAUCUGGGGGAAGACAGGACCAGGAGCUCACUGAGAAACACCAAAGGGUAAAGAAGAUAAAGCUUCUUUCCUGGGGGACUCUGGGACCCUUUCCAGAAGCCCCAUUCCAGAGGUCCUCUGUGCCAUCAGAAGCACUGUGGCACACUGAGGGUGGCUCAGAAACAAUCCGAGCAAAGGUAGAAACAAGAAAAUGCUCAACGGGAGAGGUCAGGCAGGAGAGCUCGUGAACUAAGCCAGGGCCUGCUCCCUCUCAAGCAGCAUCAGACAUAUGAGCCUGAUAGUGCUGGUUAGGACUAGAGGAGGUGAGAGCAGAGGAGUGGAGGCCCUGCAAACAGCAGGGAGGGAGGGAGGAUGGGGGGGAGGGGUACGUGGAGUGAAAGCAGCAGGACUUUGUGGUACUGGGGUACUGGUACUGGUACUGGGGUGGAGGCUUGUGGUGGCAAGAGGAACCCCCACACUUUGCAGGCUGAGCAGCUGGGAGACCAGAGAAAUAGAAGCUGUGGGCAGCGGUGUGCCUGGAAGGCUCUUGCUCCCUGUCCUUGGGCUGCUCCAUGCCCAGCCCGGGUGCCCCCUUGGCAGCACUGGACACCCAGUCUGGACAGAUGAGUCCAGCAGUCAUGUGGUCAGCUCAGCCUCCUCCUUUCCAACCAGAAGUAACCCCUCCCUGUCCGUCUCCACAGGGAAAGGGGGACACUCAGCCUGACCUCAGGACUUUGGACAGGGGGGUCUUUCCCUUUGCCCUGUCUCAAGUAAGACUUGGGUUUAGGAGAGGAAAUAAGGUGAAAUGUUACCACCACCAUUAAAAAAAAAAAAAAAAAAAAAAAAAAAAAGGACUUCCUGUGUGUCAGCAAGUGCUGAGAACUUCAUCAACUUUCUAGAAAUUCUCUCAUGACAGCACAUGAAGCUUGGAGGUGGUAUUGAUUCCGUUUUACCUUUAAUGAAACCGGCUCAAAGGCCAGCAGGUUGCCUAGGAUGGUGCUAGGACCCGGUGUACUCUAUAGAACUGGCUCAGACCCAAGGACCCAUGUGUUCUCAGCACUCACCUGUCGCCACGGGUUCGCAUGUACUGUCAGGGCUAGAGAAGAUUUCACCAAGGCGGUGGUGACAGGAGAGCCCAGGGAGGAGGUGGGUAUGAUUUUCCGGCAGAGGGCCCAGCCCGUGCUAAAGCAAGGCUUGGCUUGCAAACAGGAAUGUCGGGGGUGGAGAGGGCUUAGGAGAAAGUCGCGGAGCGAGACCUCCUGUCGCUGGUCCGACAGAUCCGGACCUACUGCUUACAACGAAACAGAUGCCGCCCCACGCACUUCAGAAACGUUAACUCGCUUAAGCUUCCUGAGGAGCCUGGCGGCGGUCCGAGGACGGUCCUGCGCUUCCCCGAGGUCCUCCGGCGGCGGAGGGGGGACUCCAGAGCCCUCCCUACGGCUCCACCAUUUUGCAGGAGGUCGCCGAGGCUCAGAGAGGUGCGCUCCCCGGCGCCGCGUCACCCAGCGGGCGCGCCUCCCCGCCCCGGGGCGCCCC
RNAcentral lists this long non-coding RNA (4244 nucleotides) under Canis lupus familiaris (dog). Its description in RNAcentral is "lncRNA (ENSCAFG00845015225.1)". Lineage: Eukaryota; Metazoa; Chordata; Mammalia; Carnivora; Canidae. The record is from RNAcentral.